AGUUGACGUGAAAUUUUAUUGGUUAGGUUUAUCUUUUUUUCGAGGUGAAAUUUGUUUAAAGAGAUAAGAUUACUGUCUAAAUUUAUAGGAACUAAAAAAUUUAGAUUAAAAACCAGGAUUAGAUACCCUGUUAUUCUAAAUUAUAGUUAAAUAGGGUAGUAAAAGUUGUUCUUCAAACCCAAAGAUUUUGGCGGCAUUUUAUCCAAAUAGAGGAGCUUGUCCCGUAAUCGAUAGUCCUCGUUUUAUCUUACCCCCUUUUGUUUAGCUUGUAUACCGCCGUUGUCAGAUUACUCUCUAAGGAUGUUUUCAAAAAAUUAGUUCUUAUGACUUCAGGUCAAGGUGCAGUUUAUAAGGGGGUGGAGAUGAGCUACAAUUUUGUCUAGAAAUACGGAAGCUAUAUUUUAAAGUUAGUGGAAGGUGGAUUUAUUAGUAAAUUAUUUUAAUUAAA
This 448-nucleotide ribosomal RNA is filed under the name Daphnia cristata. Its description in RNAcentral is "partial 12S ribosomal RNA". Lineage: Eukaryota; Metazoa; Arthropoda; Branchiopoda; Diplostraca; Daphniidae. The record is from RNAcentral.